UGCCUUUGCGAAAUCAAGUGAAUAAGAAAUGAUUUGGAUGCCGGUGACCGGAUCAUUUCCGACAAUCAACAUUCGGCUAAGCAUGUAGAAGAUCCGUCAGUUACCUUCUCUGGACCAGAGUUCGAAUCUCUGCGGCUCCACUU
This 143-nucleotide transfer-messenger RNA is filed under the name Cytophagaceae bacterium. Its description in RNAcentral is "partial transfer-messenger RNA". It matches the Rfam family "transfer-messenger RNA", at positions 227 to 374 of the family's 374-position model. From Rfam's summary of the family: Bacterial tmRNA, also known as 10Sa RNA or SsrA, is named for its dual tRNA and mRNA-like properties. The record is from RNAcentral. Lineage: Bacteria; Pseudomonadati; Bacteroidota; Cytophagia; Cytophagales; Cytophagaceae.